This 497-nucleotide ribosomal RNA is filed under the name uncultured bacterium. RNAcentral describes it as "partial 16S ribosomal RNA". It matches the Rfam family "Bacterial small subunit ribosomal RNA", at positions 28 to 507 of the family's 1533-position model. The record is from RNAcentral.
GAUGAACGCUGGCGGCGUGCCUAAUACAUGCAAGUCGAGCGAACGGACGAUAAGCUUGCUUCUCUGAUGUUAGCGGCGGACGGGUGAGUAACACGUGGAUAACCUACCUAUAAGACUGGUAUAACUUCGGGAAACCGGAGCUAAUCCCGGAUAAUAUUUUGCACCGCAUGGUUCAAAAGUGAAAGACGGUCUUGCUGUCACUUCUAGAUGCAUCCGCGCUGCAUUAGCUAGUUGGUAGGGUAACGGCUUACCAAGGCAACGAUGCAUAGCCUACCUGAGAGGGUGAUCGGCCACACUGGAACUGAGACACGGUCCAGACUCCUACGGGAGGCAGCAGUAGGGAAUCUGCCGCAAUGGGCGAAAGCCUGACGGAGCAACGCCGCGUGAGUGAUGAAGGUCUUCGGAUCGUAAAACUCUGUUAUUAGGGAAGAACAUAUGUGUAAGUAACUGUGCACAGCGUGACGGUACCUAAUCAGAAAGCAACGGCUAACUACGUG